Molecule: ribosomal RNA, 155 nt
Filed under: Nucula atacellana
Lineage: Eukaryota; Metazoa; Mollusca; Bivalvia; Nuculida; Nuculidae
Description: partial large subunit ribosomal RNA
Source: RNAcentral
UUUAAUUUUCAUACUAGUAACAUUUUAUAUUUGUAUAUAAAUUAUACUAAUAUAAAUUUUAGUUGGGGCAACUGAGGAGUAAAAAAUAAUCUCCUUAUUAUACACCAAAAUGAUAAUUAGAUGAUCCUUUUAUAAAGAUUAAUAAAUAUAAUUAC